This 470-nucleotide long non-coding RNA is filed under the name Danio rerio (zebrafish). RNAcentral's name for it is "lncRNA (ENSDARG00000117569.1)". The record is from RNAcentral. Lineage: Eukaryota; Metazoa; Chordata; Actinopteri; Cypriniformes; Danionidae.
GAUAUUCUAGCUAUUCAUUGACUCAUGGGGACUCUGUUUGAUGUGUCCCGCUUCAGCUGGCGUCUGAGCGCUUCGAGGAGGGAGAGCGAGCGCUGAGAGAGGCCAGACAGGUGGAGGCCGAACACCAGACACGACUGCGCAACAUACACGCACAGAUGGAGAGACUGCGGCAGCAAGAGCACAGCCUACAGCAGGAGCGCUUGAGGAUGACGGAUCAUCACAGAGACGUGGAGCGACUGAAACACACUCUUCCCGUCAGCCCUCUGGCCUCCACUCAACCGCUUAUCACAGAUCUGUCUCCAGUGUUGACCAGCACACACCUGAGUACCGCUUUGAACCCGCUGCCCACUGAACUGCACGCCAGACUCGCCAUCAUCAAACACACUGCUGAGAAGGACAGAGACUUCCUGCAGGAGGAGCAGUAUUUCCUGGAAACGCUGAAGAAAACAUCCUACAACUCCAACACAUGA